Long non-coding RNA from Chelonia mydas (Green sea turtle), 832 nucleotides. RefSeq lists it as uncharacterized. The transcript has 3 exons. NCBI's taxonomy places the organism in Eukaryota, Metazoa, Chordata, Testudines, Cheloniidae. The record is from RefSeq and is a predicted model, not a curated record.
GAGAUGAUAGACACUGAGGGCAUAGGCAAACAUAAGCAUGGAGAAAUACUACAUUUCCUGUGGCUUCCAAUCCAGGUCAGUGUUUGUCUUUUAAAAAUACGUUCAUGGACAUAACAGCUAAGUUGGAAGUGACCAGUCAUUUGCAUGAAGUUCAACCCCAUUCAAGAUAUGAAAAGUGAAGUAAUUAGCUAAAGAGUACAGAACCAAAGCUGGAGUCCUACAACAAUUUUAAUGACAUGCCUGAGUAAGGCACGUAUGAGCCCCUCUGUUUAAAUGAAAAGCAAACUAACAAAAAAUUUCUUUCCUCAGAUUUAUAAACUUUGUUAGUGGAACACGUUUCACUUGACCACAAAGACUCAUUUCGUAUCUAACCGGGAUGUAGACGUCUUGGAAGAACCAUGGUAUUUCAAAGGGUGCCUGCUUAACUGUCACAAGGGCUGGAUUUCAUCAGAAUAGAACAAGUGAAUUAAUAUUUGAUGCAUGUCACAGAAGAGAUUAUUGUAAGUAGGUUGAUGUUUUUCUACUAUACCUCCGGAAAGCAGGAAGCCUCUAUUCCCAAGAACCAUCCGGGAACCAAGCCGAUGCAUAGAACCACUAGGUUGGGGUAACGAGCGCCACCCACAUCCUAAAACAAGGAGAUGAAGAAUGGUGGGGAGCUUGAUCAAUGGUUGGACACAGAAUUGAAACAAGCAAGUGUACCAAGCUUGUCUUGGCUAGGUAGGUACUUUGAGAAUAACUCUGGCCUUGUACUGCCUUAUCUUGUUUGGUACCCUUAGAAUUAGGAGCACUGGGAGAAAGGCAUAGAACAGACUCUUCUUCCAUGGUAGAAGGA